Podarcis lilfordi (Lilford's wall lizard) is the source of this 133-nucleotide non-coding RNA. Lineage: Eukaryota; Metazoa; Chordata; Lepidosauria; Squamata; Lacertidae. The record is from the annotation of a GenBank genome assembly.
CUUCCAGUAGCACCUUAGAGAACAACUAAGUUUGUUCUUGGUAUGAGCUUUCGUGGUAUCUGAAGAAGUGUGCAUGCACACGAAAGCUCAUACCAAGAACAAACUUAGUUGGUCUCUAAGGUGCUACUGGAAG